RNAcentral lists this long non-coding RNA (295 nucleotides) under Ictidomys tridecemlineatus (thirteen-lined ground squirrel). Its description in RNAcentral is "lncRNA (ENSSTOG00000030354.1)". The record is from RNAcentral. Lineage: Eukaryota; Metazoa; Chordata; Mammalia; Rodentia; Sciuridae.
GAAUAAACAUAUUAUUUUAAGCCACACAAUUUGUAAUAUUUUGUUACAGCAACCUUAGGAAACUAAUAUCCAUCGCAGCACCAGUACAAAGUGUGAUGGGAGCCCAUGAGCAGAUGAUGAGUCAGGACAUAUGAAGACAGGAAACUGCAAAUCCUCCACACUUACUUUAGCCCAGAUUGCAUCAUCCUCACUGAAUCACUUUAUCCUGUCACAAACAGCACUGCCAUGUUCUACAAGUGCCACUAUAGAACAGUUCUACCUGCACAUGGAAAACUGCAAUGACCUUUUAAUUAAG